This 253-nucleotide ribosomal RNA is filed under the name uncultured bacterium. Its description in RNAcentral is "partial 16S ribosomal RNA". It matches the Rfam family "Bacterial small subunit ribosomal RNA", at positions 524 to 776 of the family's 1533-position model. The record is from RNAcentral.
UACAGAGGUCUCAAGCGUUGUUCGGAUUCAUUGGGCGUAAAGGGUGUGUAGGUGGCGCCGUAAGUCGGGUGUGAAAUUUCGGAGCUUAACUCCGAAACUGCAUUCGAUACUGGCGUGCUUGAGGACUGGAGAGGAGACUGGAAUUUACGGUGUAGCGGUGAAAUGCGUAGAUAUCGUAAGGAAGACCAGUGGCGAAGGCGGGUCUCUGGACAGUUCCUGACGCUGAGGCACGAAGGCCAGGGGAGCAAACGGG